GCUAUGUUCCAAGUUUAUGGUUCCAGCAGCUCUGCAGUGCCAUGAGGAGCCUUGUGAAAUUGCCUUUAAAGAAAAGGCAAACCAUUUACCAGGAAGAAAGUUGAACAUUGGGUUCACAACCAGGGCUAAACUUAACAAAUUACUCGACGAGGGUGACAUCACACCACAGCAGGUGGAUUCAUUCCAUGAAGCUGUGUUGUGUUUCCUGACAAGUGCUGUGGACUAUGCACUUAAGAAGCUGCCACUGGAAGAGCCACUGAUCAAGCACGCACAAUUUGUAGAUGUACGGCAGAGGGCUGAAAGUGACUCUGUUGAAAGGUUUCCCCAUCUCCUCCCAUACCAUGGGCCAGAGGAGCAUGAC
Coregonus clupeaformis (lake whitefish) is the source of this 361-nucleotide long non-coding RNA. RefSeq lists it as uncharacterized. The record is from RefSeq and is a predicted model, not a curated record. Lineage: Eukaryota; Metazoa; Chordata; Actinopteri; Salmoniformes; Salmonidae. The transcript is spliced from 3 exons.